UCCAUGGCUGAAUUGGUCUAAGCAUUGCCGUUUAGAGGCAAAGAUGCCGGUUCAAGCCCCACUGGA
RNAcentral lists this transfer RNA (66 nucleotides) under Operophtera brumata (winter moth). It matches the Rfam family "tRNA". Rfam says of the family: Transfer RNA (tRNA) molecules are approximately 80 nucleotides in length. Their secondary structure includes four short double-helical elements and three loops (D, anti-codon, and T loops). The record is from Rfam by way of RNAcentral. Lineage: Eukaryota; Metazoa; Arthropoda; Insecta; Lepidoptera; Geometridae.